GCCCUGAUAGAGAAAUCCGAAAAACUGGUCCAAAGAGGAUAGAAGCCCCAGGUGGCUCUCGGGUUGCUUUCCGAACCAGGUCCUAAAUCCAACAACCGGUGUCCUUAUAAGAGGCAGAAGAGGAGAAGACGCAAACUAUAGAGAAGGCCAUGGCCAUGUGAAAACAGAGAUAAAAGAAGCCACGAGCCAAGGAAUGUCUAAAGCCAUCAGAAGCUGGAAGGGGUCAGAGCCCACUCCCAUAAGAUCUGACACAACCUUCAAAAUCUUGAAGCUCCUACACCUGCAUAACUGGGACAAGAUUGGGAUGUUCUUGAGGAUGACAGCAGCCCUAGAUAUGACCCCAACCAGGAUUCCCAGUGUAACCAGAGCAUGGGACACCAUGUUGUGGUAUGACCUCUGUGAGAUGGCCACAGAAUCUGAAGGUUUUUCACUUGCAUAAAGUCCAGACCCCUUCUUGCCCUGUAAGAAUCUGCCCAGGUGGGAAGACCUCCUUGUUCUCAUAACCCUUUGGUCUCUAGUCUGGCUUCAGAAUCUACUCUCCAUCAUUCUGCUGUCCUGCUUCUCACAAAUGAGCAAAUAUGGCACCGACUUGCAUUAAAACACCACUGUUGCUGGUA
Molecule: long non-coding RNA, 617 nt
Organism: Leopardus geoffroyi (Geoffroy's cat)
Lineage: Eukaryota; Metazoa; Chordata; Mammalia; Carnivora; Felidae
Exons: 4
Source: RefSeq, a predicted model, not a curated record